UACGUAGGGUGCGAGCGUUAAUCGGAAUUACUGGGCGUAAAGCGUGCGCAGGCGGUUUUGUAAGCCAGAUGUGAAAGCCCCGGGCUCAACCUGGGAAUGGCAUUUGGGACUGCAAGGCUUGAGUGCGGCAGAGGAGACUGGAAUUCCUGGUGUAACAGUGAAAUGCGUAGAUAUCAGGAGGAAUACCGAUGGCGAAGGCAGGUCUCUGGGCUGACACUGACGCUCAUGCACGAAAGCGUGGGGAGCAAACAGG
Molecule: ribosomal RNA, 253 nt
Filed under: uncultured bacterium
Lineage: Bacteria
Description: partial 16S ribosomal RNA
Rfam family: Bacterial small subunit ribosomal RNA
Source: RNAcentral